RNAcentral lists this long non-coding RNA (1512 nucleotides) under Parus major (Great Tit). Its description in RNAcentral is "lncRNA (ENSPMJG00000014393.1)". Lineage: Eukaryota; Metazoa; Chordata; Aves; Passeriformes; Paridae. The record is from RNAcentral.
CGCCCCGCCCGGGUGAUGCAACGAGGGCGGGAGGUUUCGCGGCUCCCGUGUGGGGCAAAGCGGGGCGCGGGUUGCGUCAGGCGGGGUGUCCGGCCCGGGGUCGGCGUGUCCGGCGGUGCUGGGUGCGAGAUUCCCGCCGGGGGAUGCCAGCGGAUCGGCCGCUGCCGGAACCUAGGGGCCGCCGUGCCCAAAAGGGAGAAGCCGGAGUGGAGUGAGCGGGCCAGCCCUCCUCAGCCUGCCCCACGCUCCCCCUUUGGCUUUAUCCCAGAACCUGAGGUGCUGCGUUGGAAAACCAAGCAGUUAAUAUUUAACAGGGUGAAGCGACAGCUCCUGACGUCAACAGGGCCAAAGCGUAAGGCACAUACAUUUGAAACAGAAUAAUAACAUCCACACUAAUGCAAGGACAUACGUGGUGCUGAAUCCGACGUUUUCCCUAGUGCUAUAUCCAGGCUGGAGUGUCGGCUUGUAAUACAUAACAUUUGUUACGUGGAGGGGUGCAAGUGCUGUCUGUCUAUGGGAUGGACACCCAGCUGUCAACCAGCUUUAGGCAGGUUGUGACAGCUAAAGGGGUGGACUUUUACAUCACAAAGUUACUCACUUUGGUGAGAGAGGAGGAGAAAGAAUGAAGAAGCAAAACCGCCAGUGUUUCUCAUUGUUCUUGUCCUUUGCGCUUAAUCAAUCGAAACAGUCUAGUUACAGUCUUUUAUUUAGUUUCCUGUUGGUCUCCAUCCAACUGGCACCCACCUUUCCACUCAACAGGGUGUUGCAGCUGCAACACCUACAGUCUGUGGUGGGUGCUCCCGGCACUGUGGUGUGUUCAUCAAGAGUCUGCACAGCUCUCACAUCUGCCCCACUGCUCCGUGCCUUACACAGCUCAUCCUUUUCCCCUACCCUGCACAACUGGCUCUCUGACUUGUCACCAUGGAUGACCCUUCACAAGGUCAGCCUUGCAACGGAGCCCAAAGCUCCUUCAUUUUCCUCUCCACUUGCGCUUUUCCCAGUCACCUUCUCUGUCUUACUCAGGCUCAAAGCUUUCCCCAGGAUGUGAAUUUUAUCCAUUUUCUUGGUUUGUUCAGUCUGGGAGGGGAGACUUCAUUGUGGUCUUCAACAUCCUUAUGAAGGGAAGCAAAGGGGCAAGUGCUGACUUCUUCCCUCUCGUGACCAGGGACAGGACUUGAGGACCAACACCAUGAAGCUGAGUCAGGGGAGAUUUAGGUUGGAUAUCAGGAAAAAGUUUCUCAUCCAAAAGCGGCUGAGCACUGAAACAGGCUUCCCAAGGAAGUGGUCACAGCACCAAGCCUGUCUGGGUUCAAGAAGCGUUUGAAUAACGCUCUCAGGCACAUGGUGUGAUUCUUGGGGUCAUGGCCAGGAGCUGGACUUGAUGAUCUUGAUGGGUCCUUUCCAACUCAGCAUCUUCUGUGAUUCUGUGAUCUGAGAAAUGCACUGAAUUAUGCAUGUGUGACAAACGAAGCUCCACGUGUCUUAUCUGCUGGUACUAAGCUAAGGAAAAUA